RNAcentral lists this ribosomal RNA (497 nucleotides) under uncultured bacterium. RNAcentral's name for it is "partial 16S ribosomal RNA". It matches the Rfam family "Bacterial small subunit ribosomal RNA", at positions 28 to 507 of the family's 1533-position model. The record is from RNAcentral.
GAUGAACGCUGGCGGCGUGCCUAAUACAUGCAAGUCGAGCGAACAGACGAGGAGCUUGCUCCUCUGACGUUAGCGGCGGACGGGUGAGUAACACGUGGAUAACCUACCUAUAAGACUGGGAUAACUUCGGGAAACCGGAGCUAAUACCGGAUAAUAUAUUGAACCGCAUGGUUCAAUAGUGAAAGACGGUUUUGCUGUCACUUAUAGAUGGAUCCGCGCCGCAUUAGCUAGUUGGUAAGGUAACGGCUUACCAAGGCAACGAUGCGUAGCCGACGUGAGAGGGUGAUCGGGCACACUGGAAGUGAGACACGGUCCUGAGUCCUACGGGAGGCAGCAGUAGGGAAUCUUGCGAAAUGGGCGGAAGCCUGACGGAGGAACGCCGCGUGGGUGAUGAAGGUCUUCGGAUCGUAAAACUGUGUUAUGAGGGAAGAACGAAUUUGUAAGUAACUAUGCACGUCUUGACGGUACCUAAUCAGAAAGCCACGGCUAACUACGUG